GCCGCAGUAGCUCAUUGGUAGAGCAGGUCUCUGAAGAGGAUCGUGUAGGGGGUUCGAUUCCCUCCUGCGGCACAA
Molecule: transfer RNA, 75 nt
Filed under: Candidatus Wildermuthbacteria bacterium RIFCSPHIGHO2_02_FULL_48_16
Lineage: Bacteria; Candidatus Wildermuthiibacteriota
Description: tRNA-Phe
Rfam family: tRNA
About the family: Transfer RNA (tRNA) molecules are approximately 80 nucleotides in length.
Source: RNAcentral